AAGAUUUUAAGUUAAAUUUAUAAACUUUAAACCUUCAAAGUUUACAAUAAAAUUUUUAAAAUUUUUAAAUCUUA
RNAcentral lists this transfer RNA (74 nucleotides) under Anoplolepis gracilipes. Its description in RNAcentral is "tRNA-Trp". The record is from RNAcentral. Lineage: Eukaryota; Metazoa; Arthropoda; Insecta; Hymenoptera; Formicidae.